This 219-nucleotide long non-coding RNA is filed under the name Prunus dulcis (almond). RNAcentral's name for it is "sRNA ncRNA". Lineage: Eukaryota; Viridiplantae; Streptophyta; Magnoliopsida; Rosales; Rosaceae. The record is from RNAcentral.
UGGUUUAUGCACUGUCAUUUGGAGAGGCACAUCAGCUGGGGAAUGGCCACUGUACUCAUUGUGACAAAUGGAAACACCACUGAAACCAGCAUGCUCCCAACACCUGCUUAUAUGCCUCCUUGUAAAUAAAUAUUGAAAUUUACUUUCUCUUUCAUGGAUCUCAGUUUAUAUAGUUAUACUGAGACUUUGAUUUUAUUAAGAAUAAUUGUAUCAUCCAAG